AACGAACGCUGGCGGCAGGCUUAACACAUGCAAGUCGAACGCGAAAUCACCUUCGGGUGGUGGAGAGUGACAGACGGGUGAGUAACGCGUGGGAACCUACCUAGUGGUACGGAAUAACUCAGGGAAACUUGGGCUAAUACCGUAUGUGCCCGAAAGGGGAAAGAUUCAUCGCCACUAGAUGGGCCCGCGUCGGAUUAGCUUGUUGGUGAGGUAACGGCCCACCAAGGCGACGAUCCGUAGCUGGUCUGAGAGGAUGAUCAGCCACACUGGGACUGAGACACGGCCCAGACUCCUACGGGAGGCUGCAGUGGGGAAUAUUGGACAAUGGGCGCAAGCCUGAUCCAGCCAUGCCGCGUGAGUGAUGAAGGCCCUAGGGUUGUAAAGCUCUUUCGGCGGGGACGAUAAUGACGGUACCCGCAGAAGAAGCCCCGGCUAACUUCGUGCCAGCCGCCGCAGUAA
This 459-nucleotide ribosomal RNA is filed under the name uncultured bacterium. RNAcentral describes it as "partial 16S ribosomal RNA". It matches the Rfam family "Bacterial small subunit ribosomal RNA", at positions 29 to 523 of the family's 1533-position model. The record is from RNAcentral.